UCUAUAUCGGAGACAGUGCUCUCCAUAUGUU
Heterocephalus glaber (naked mole-rat) is the source of this 31-nucleotide non-coding RNA. The record is from Rfam. NCBI's taxonomy places the organism in Eukaryota, Metazoa, Chordata, Mammalia, Rodentia, Bathyergidae.